Molecule: ribosomal RNA, 644 nt
Filed under: Nocardioides sp. D31
Lineage: Bacteria; Bacillati; Actinomycetota; Actinomycetes; Propionibacteriales; Nocardioidaceae
Description: bacterial SSU rRNA
Rfam family: Bacterial small subunit ribosomal RNA
Source: RNAcentral
GGGUGAGUAACACGUGAGCAAUCUGCCCUUCACUUUGGGAUAACUCCGGGAAACCGGUGCUAAUACCGAAUACGACCGCCGAUGGCAUCUUCUGGUGGUGGAAAGUUCCGGCGGUGAAGGAUGAGCUCGCGGCCUAUCAGCUUGUUGGUGGGGUAAUGGCCCACCAAGGCAACGACGGGUAGCCGGCCUGAGAGGGUGACCGGCCACACUGGGACUGAGACACGGCCCAGACUCCUACGGGAGGCAGCAGUGGGGAAUAUUGGACAAUGGGCGAAAGCCUGAUCCAGCAACGCCGCGUGAGGGAUGACGGCCUUCGGGUUGUAAACCUCUUUUCAGCAGGGACGAAAGCGAAAGUGACGGUACCUGCAGAAGAAGCACCGGGCCAACUACGUGCCAGCAGCCCGCGGUAAUACGUAGGGUGCGAGCGUUGUCCGGAAUUAUUGGGCGUAAAGGGCUCGUAGGCGGUUUGUCGCGUCGGGAGUGAAAACUCAGGGCUUAACCUCUGAGCCUGCUUCCGAUACGGGCAGACUAGAGGUAUGCAGGGGAGAACGGANUUCCUGGGUGUAGCGGUGAAAUGCGCAGAUAUCAGGAGGAACACCGGUGGCGAAGGCGGUUCUCUGGGCAUUACCUGACGCUGAGGAGCG